AUUGAACGCUGGCGGCAGGCCUAACACAUGCAAGUCGAGCGGAGCGGCGGACGGGUGAGUAAUGCCUAGGACUCUGCCUGGUAGUGGGGGAUAACGUCCGGAAACGGGCACUAAUACCGCAUACUAUCAGAUGAGCCUAGGUCGGAUUAGCUAGUUGGUGGGGUAAAGGCCUAACAGGGCGACGAUCCGUAACUGGGCGGAGAGGAUGAUCAGUCACACUGGAACUGCAAAACGGUCCCGACUCCUACGGUAGGCAGCAGUGGGUAAUAUUGGACAAGGGGCGAAAGCCUGAUCCAGCCAUGCCGCGUGUGUGAAGAAGGUCUUCGGAUUGUAAAGCACUUUAAGUUGGGAGGCGUUACCAACAGAAUAAGCACCGGCUAACUUCGUGCCAGCAGCCGCGGUAAUAC
This 407-nucleotide ribosomal RNA is filed under the name uncultured bacterium. RNAcentral describes it as "partial 16S ribosomal RNA". It matches the Rfam family "Bacterial small subunit ribosomal RNA", at positions 30 to 526 of the family's 1533-position model. The record is from RNAcentral.